GAAUGAAAUGCCUAUUGAAAAUGAUUUAGCUCUCCUUUGAAGUAUAUAUCUUGAAAAACAAAUGCCAACUUGUACCUGAAAAUCCGGACAGAAGACAGAAAAAAAUGUUUUUAGGUGGUCAUAUUUUUUCAAAAUCGACAGCUGCUACAUUCAAGCAUUAUUCUGCCUAAAACUGUGACCAAAACGUACCUAGAUAAUAUAUCUACUUCCUGCGAGCAAUCAAUUUUUAAAUAAAUUUGAUGAAAGUGCCUUUUAUAGUCGAUAAUUUCAGAUAAUUUUUAUUUUCUUUUUUUUUCAUGCAGACAUCAUCAUUUCACAACUAAUUUGAGAUAAACAUGCGUAUCUAUGACAAAAAUCCAUAAUAUCAUUACAAGGGCAAUACACAUAAAAGUCAGAUGUGUCAAUUUUAUUUUUAGACACGGUUGCAGUCACAAAGUAAUUGACAGAAUAAAAUGUAAAUUUCAGCAUAUUUUUUCACACAAAAAUGCGUUAGUGCGUAGAAAUGUGAUCAGGCUGAGCACAUGGCCUUAUGGAUUUCAUGGUUUUCGGCGCUUAACGUGAAAACAGUUAAAGCACAGGAUUCACAAACAUUAAAUUUAUGCUUAAAUCUAUAUGCGAUACAUUAUGCAUAUAAUUAUAAUUCACGAUAAUAUCGCAUAUGGAAGUAACUGGAAUAAAUUUGAACUAUUUCCUUCGGAAGUUUACGUGACUGUCCUGUCAAAAGGCCUCCCUCAUGUUUACAUAUUUUGACAGGUCGAGUUGUUCUGGGACUAGGAACAAUGGUAAGUGCAAAGUUAUAUAGAUUUAUAUAAAUUAAUUAUUUUUGCAACGAGUUCGAAGUAAGGUUGAUUAUCAGUCGACUCUAUUUCAAGAUCUGAGAAUGAUUUGCCUAUUUUUGGGCGGAGAACAUAGCAUAUGCAUGCUUGUAUCACUGCCACCAUAGAUUAUCAUUAGAUCCAUUGGUAGAUCAACAACAAAUCAUUCUCAGAUCUUGAAAUACAGUCGAUGCAGAAUUAACGCAUUGUUUCAUAGAUAGUGAAUCGAUCAGAAUAGACAGAAUUGAUCAUUGUCAUAGAAAAAAAAAACGUUGAUGUACUUUUUGCAUUCGAAUUGACAUAAUUUGAACAUAGACUCUGCAUUUAUGCCAUAAAAUAUGUCUGAUCGGACGUGCUGAAUCAUCCGGCAAAAACAAUCAAUAUUUUUAAAGUAACAUUAAUUAGAAUCAAGGUCUACUGUGCAUUUAAUCCGUCAUGUGUUUGUUUCAGAUGAAAGAAUACCUGCACCAUGGAAACAAUGUCAUUUGCAAACUUUCUGAACCUGUGCUGGGCAUUCACAUUGACAUUUCUUGUUCAACAGGAAUACAUAAUGUCGACCAACAGUACAACUAGAUGAAGAUAUAAAUUUAUUCAAAGAAAUAAUGGGACAAUGAAUGCUAAAAUUGCCAAGAAGAAGACUGCCAAUUUACACACCAUUUUAUACAGUUACAGUAUGAUAUGGUGAACAAAAUGCCUCAAUGCAGCCAGUUCUGGAGCUUUGGCUAGGCUAUGAACAGUAGACAUCAAAAGAUGAUUAUCUGAAGGGCCACAAUUGUUUAAAGCACUGGUCAACAAAAACUGAACUAUUUGAUUGAUCAUACAUGUGCAGAAUGUACAACCAUAUUUCCAGAAUCAGAGAAAGUAUUAGAGAGAAAGAAAAGUAUGCAUCAUAUGCAUCAUAUAUGAAGAACUGCCUAAGAAUAAUUUGCAAAAUACAUUGAAAUCUAACAAUUGCUAAUUGCAUAAGAAAGUUAAGAAAGGUGUACUCUUCUGGAAAAUAUGUGUCCAGUGCAACAUUUCUUUUCCAAUUUUGUGAGCAUAAUUUUGAAUAAAAAUUGCAACAUGGCUACAGGGAUAAUACAAAAGGUUUAAUCUUAUUUCCAAACACAUUGGGGGAAUCAGAGAAGAAAUAUCAAGAAUUAGGGAAAAAGAAAUAAUUGUCAUGAAUGAAGAACUUGCUUUUUAAUAAUUUAAAAAAUACUUUUUAUCCUCACAACUGUUAAUGAUAUUAUGAAUAUGGAAGUUAAAAGUGUGGACUUUGAUUAAUCUUCAACUUCUCUGAGCAUAGUUCUACAUAAAAAUUUCAACUUUAUAAAAUAGUCUUGUAGAAAAAGUGUAAAACUUUCAUACUUGUUUUAUAGAAAAUGUUUCUGGAUGUUUCAAUGUAAAUUUGCUAGACCCAGACCACUAGCUCCUAAGUCAAGGUUACACUUAGAUGUCAAAGGUUAAAAGGGUCUGUUUCUGUCUGGUCAAUAACUGCCAUACAUUAAGGGAUUUUGGAAUUACUCGGCAUAAAUGUUCACCAUAAAGAGACAACGUGUUAUGCGCAAGACCCAAACCCUUGCUCCAAGGUCAAGGUCACGCUUAGAGGUCAAAGGUUAAUAGUCUUUUUGGUGUCUGGUCAAUAACUCUGCGAUCCAUGAAGGGACUUUUAGAUAACUUGGCAUAAAUGUUCACCAUAAUGAAACCAGGUGUCAUGCCCAAGACCAAGACCCCUAGCUCGAAGGUCACACUUGGAGGCCAAAGGUCAGAUACAAAAAUGACUUUGUCCGUAGCAUUUCUUGUUCAUGCAUGGAGGGAUUUUGAUGUACAAUGGCAAAAAUGUUCAUCAUCAUGAGAUGGUGUGUCAUGAGUAAGAACCAGGCCCCUAAUCCUUUGCUGUUACUAUUAAUAGCUAUUACUGUAAUGUUCUA
This is a long non-coding RNA of Mercenaria mercenaria, 2728 nucleotides long. RefSeq lists it as uncharacterized. The record is from RefSeq and is a predicted model, not a curated record. NCBI's taxonomy places the organism in Eukaryota, Metazoa, Mollusca, Bivalvia, Venerida, Veneridae. The transcript has 4 exons.